Neofelis nebulosa (Clouded leopard) is the source of this 4981-nucleotide long non-coding RNA. RefSeq lists it as uncharacterized. The transcript has 3 exons. The record is from RefSeq and is a predicted model, not a curated record. NCBI's taxonomy places the organism in Eukaryota, Metazoa, Chordata, Mammalia, Carnivora, Felidae.
UUUGAGUUAUAAAAUAAACCAAAAGUGACAUCCACGUUUUAAGGCGUGAAAUGUUGGCUGGCACUAAAACAAAGACAACUGAAAAUGGUUCCUUUGUCCUCUAAAACUAGGUAGUAGAAUUGCAUACCACUUUCUGUGUAACCAGUUUUUAGCCCAGUACCAUUGUAUCUACAACUUGAACUAGAGCUUAUUUGCCAGAUACAGUUCAAAAUGCUGUUCAGUUUUGUGUUCCAUCUCCAUUUGCCAUACCAGCAUCCUUAUCUAUACACCCAAAUUCAUGACUGAAGUGUUUUAGCUGAUUUCAUGUCAACUCCCUUAAUACGAAUCAACAAUAGGUCUACCUUUCCAAUUUAUCACUAUUCUCAAUCACAUCUUCCCUUGCUCUGGUUGAUUUGGUAAAUAACGGACCAUGCUUGUUUUUACUUUUGUGUGUUUGUAGACCUUUCUCCUUCCCUCCCCAUUAGUCACCCUGAAGCUUCCAAGUCCUGAUCAUCCUCUGUUAAACUUCAUUCCUGAAACUAUAAACUUCACAUUUCUUCUCUGUGAUGCAUUUAAUCUCACAAAUUUAUUUUAUUACUAUUGGAAGUUUUGUGGUUUUUUAGUACCCAGUGAGGUUUCUGUAGAAGUAUUUGUAUCUCCCAUUCAGCCAAAUGCAGUGCUGAAAGAACUUUUAUUCCUUAGAAGCAACACACUAUAGAAGUCUAUUUCACAAACUUGGGUUAACUGGUUGGAUUGAGAAAACUGUUGUGUUCUUAACACUGCAUCAAAUAAUGGCUCCUCAGAUGUGAAACUAGGAAAUUCAAAUUUAACUUCUAACCUAAUCCAAGUAACUUUUCCCAUUAUAAUGUUGCCCCAAGAUCAGUCUUACAAAGUCCAGAAGAAAGUUGUUUUUGUUUUUUUGGUAAGCUGUGCACACUCUGAGAAUAGAUCAUCAAGAAUUGAUGCUGUUGUCUCCCUAAGGGUAGAAUGGUUCCCUCCUGGUGCUUCUUCCUGUGUCUCCUUUUUAUAUCAUUCUUAGUCAUGAUUCUUAACAGAAGAAGCUUUAAAUUACUUCCAGACUUUGUGGUCAUACCUCAAUGAGAAUUCCUGCAGAUUUCCCUUUGGGGUUGGAUUCUUUUGGUGGUUAUUUAUCCAAAAAGGCAUUCAUAUGUGAAGAUUUAUAUAGAAUUUAGGAAAUGGAUAAUAUAUUUCCUUGGUUUGGGAGAAUCUUAACAUGACUUCGGGACCCUGCCCUGGUUAAUUGUCUCAAAGCCAAGAGACUCAAUAAACCUCUCCUUCACUACCAGCAUCCCCGUUCCUUUUGCCUCUCAUUCAACCACCCCUUCAUGAUCAGCUAAAGACUUAAGCAUUCUUGGACUAAUUAAUUGCACUAUAAUUCUGCUUUGCUUUUCUUCACAUUUAUAUAUUGUUGCAUAUGAUGUAUGCGCUUGCAUGUUGCUUUUAAUCUGUUGUAUAAUUGUUUUGUGUACAUAUAUUUCCCCUGGCUACAUAGUAAACUGAGCAAGCACUGUUAACUUUUUGACACUUCCAAGAUGCUCAUAUGCUAAUGCCUUAAUGUUUAUGAAUAAAUCUGUUCAUAAAAUCCUAUACAGGUGCACUGGAUGGCUUAAGUAGUAUGGUCCUCUAAAUCAGAUUGGGCUUAUUUCCAAAGUAGUGACUUCAAGGGUUCAUGCCCUUGCUACCUUUUUUAAAGGAAAAAUGCAAAGGCAUUAAAUACCUUAUUCUCAAUGAAAGUAGUAGUUAACUAUUCCAUUAAAUACUUUGAUUCAUUUUAAUCUUGGAGUGGUAUUAGCCUCAUUUUGCAGUUGAGAUAAUAGGCUGAAAGAUACUAAAAGUGACCGGCCCAGAACUUGAAUCUUGUGAAAAUUUGUUCAUUUUACUACCACAUUGCUUUUUUUUUUUUUUUUUUUUUUUAAAGCUAGCCUGCCUUUUUCUGUGGUGGUUUCUAGGGGCUUAAGUGAAAAUCACCUGUAAUAUCCACCUGACGCCACCAGGGUGUCCCAUGGUGCUGUCUUUGAUCCAUGUUUUAGUCUUAGUGGCUGUGGCCUAGAGCUCAGCAGCAGGAAGGUCAGGUGAUCCCUGACUUUCUAGUAUGCAGUGCAAAGCCAGCAUCAGAAAUGCCCUCGCCCUCUUUUAACUCCUACUAGUCAGGCUGGCCUCAGGGCACAACCAGGGCUUGGCUAGCCACUCCUAACUGGGGGCAGGCCACAAAGGACAGUAAGAUAGAAAAGACCCUGUGAAUGGGUAAUCCACAAACAUGCAUUUGUUCUAGUAGCUGAAUAUACACUUAACACAAAUUUGUAUUAGUGAAAGAGAUCCACUACAGAAAGAUUGAAUUGCUUUACUACUCGAGGUAGAUGAAUUUUAAAAGCCAAUGUAUGGCGACUUCAGUAAUAGUCUGCAUUACACUUAGCCCUGAGUAUGUAUACAACUUCUUAGGCAUCCGUGUUGAUAUUUAACAAUCCUUUAUGAUGAUCUUUGGUGUUAAAGCUAUAAUUUAUGUGAGAACUAAUGAGGUGAAGUCUAUUUAGUAGUAAAGAAAUCAAAUGCCUGCUUUAAAUUUUUUUUUCCUUCCAAUCCUUUUUAAGCACUUCAUACAAAUGUCUGUGAUUCUUUUCAAGUUUUAAUUUCUCUACUGGGAGGAGCUCCAUAAAAGUAUGCCCAGUGGCUAGUACAGUUCCAGACAUUUAAUAGGUGCUCAAUUAAUACUUAUAUAUUGAAAUAGCAAAACUUCCAUAAUAGCUAUGGGAUGGUUAUACAUGAGCCAUUUCUGUAAGGAGAGAGUUAGUGAGCACUUUGAUUUGUCUUUAAGCUGAUUACAACCCUUUAUGAAGUGGGAAAGUAGUCCCUGAGAGGUCCUGGACUGCCUUGCAAAAUAUGAAUGAAAUAAGUCAUUCUGGGUAGAAAUUAGCACAGCCUGAAUUUGACCUUAACCAUGCAAUAUCUCUAAGAUUAGGUGUUCACCAGGGCUCUUAGAGCUACAGGGAUAGGCUUACUAAGUUAAACAUUACUGAUGGCAGAUGUUGGGUUGGUAGUGCCCUUUUCCCUUAACUGCUGCCUGUCUUCCCAGUGUGCCCCCAUCCCCAAAUUCUUGUGGUUUUAAGGAAAUAACUGGAAUAAAUCCUAAACCUAUCUGUAGUAGUCCAGCACCCUUUUCAGUUUUCUCAUGUCUUUGGUGAGAGGCUAAUCACAGAUUACUGUACCAAUUUGGACCCUUCUGUCUGCUUUGCCUAAGUGAUCAGAAUAACUGAGCUAAAUUAACAUAUCAAACAUAUGGGGGCUUCCUCAAGCUUCAUGAGUUUUUCUGAGUGUACUGUGUAGGGGACUGGAUGAAUAAUUGGGAAUAAAAGUUACUAGUUCCAGUGUUCCUGAGAAGCAUCACUAAAGGAUUUUUUUCAUCCCUUAAUUAUAAUUCUAUAAAUGCAUUAAUAGAUUGUUCUGAAGAUGCACUUCCAUAUAUGAAGAGUAAGUAUAUUGCCUUUCCUAUCUAAAGUGCAAACUACUAAAAGGCAGAAAUGUGUAUCCUAACCCCCAGAAUGCCUGUUUCUGGGAUUACUUUAUACCUACCUGAUGCUCCCAGAAACUUUUCCACCGGCUUAGAUUGACUAUUUGUGAUUAAGUGUUGAAUGAAAGGUGAGAGAAAGUGAAAGGAGAGGUGGGGCAGGCAGAGUAAGCUGGAAAAACGACGAAAUAGCUGGGAGCUGAAGGGGGGUGGGAGGUACUUAUGUAAGGUCAGUAAAACAAAAAGAAGAGGACAGGGUCAGGCCUUGGGGCUAGAGAGCUAAUUCUGUCAACUAGUAGAGAUUUGUAUGCUUUGUUGAAAAGAUAACUUCAGGAGAAAAAUCUAGAUUCUCCCAUCUUCCCUGUUUACCAGAGUAAAUUGUUCAUCAAGUCAACCUACACUGUCUUCUAGGGAUUCUGGUCCUCUUCAGUUCUAGCAAAGAGCCUGUUGUCUCUGCUCAGGCAAUCAAGGAUACAAUGUUUCGAGUAGUAUUUGUGGAUAGCUGUAAGCUUGAUGUUUUAUUCACAGCUUAAGGAGCAACUGUGGAGUACAGCUGUUGUCCCUAUGUUGAGCUUUAACAGCUUGCCAGGUUCCUGCACCUGCUUGUAGGCCUGGACCCAAUGACUGAGCUUUAGGCAGUGUCUAGUUCAGGGACUGCUCAGGGUCAAGAAACAUCUUUAAAGGAGUGAAUUCCCUCCUUAGCCAGAUGUUAUGCUGUCGUGGCCUUGUGUUGCCAUCUCUUGGCUUACUUUCUAGAGUGGAGCAGCCUUCCUAAAGCUUAGUCUAGCUAGUCUUGUGAUGCCGCUUCAGUGUCUUAGGUCACUACUGCUCACUUCCCUCAUGCAGGGAACAUAAUACAUCAGUUCCUCAACACCUGUUUCAUUAUUCCCUGUUCCCUUUUUUACCAGGAAUGGAGGGAUCUACAGCAGAACAUCAGAUUGACCCGAUGAGGCUUUUUCUUAAUUCUAGGUCCAUGAAAGGGAGAGGAAGGACUACGGACUCAGAAAGAGGGAACCAUAAGAUCCGCCUGUAUUAAUUAAUAUGCUAACUCUUUGGAGAUUUCUGAGAAACAAUCCUUCCUGAAUUCUGGACUACUAAAUCUGGUGUGAAGAAAUUAUCAAUGAGGCUGAUCUGUCCCUUGAUGUGCUACCUGCUUCUGCUACCGACCCAUACUGCAGACUUCUCAUUCAUCCCCAAGGCCUCCAAGCAAUGUCCAAUAGGGAAUCGACUCUAAAAGGAACCAGACCAGACCAGACCAGACCAAAAAGUAGCUACCUCUCUGAGGAGAGGAUAGCAAACGUUCAGGACAUCAUCCUACAAAGUUCCAGCAGCAGUGACGCCUACACGGAAGACUUGGAACUGCAAACAGAGGCUGGGGUCACCUCAGUGACAUCUGACGCCGUCCAACCACAAGUUCGAUUUUUGUUCUGUGGGGCGAGAAAGACUGUACUAAAAGACAAAAAUAAUUUCUUAUCUAUA